UACGGGGGGGGCAAGCGUUGUUCGGAAUUACUGGGCGUAAAGGGCUCGUAGGCGGCCAACUAAGUCAGACGUGAAAUCCCUCGGCUUAACCGGGGAACUGCGUCUGAUACUGGAUGGCUUGAGUUUGGGAGAGGGAUGCGGAAUUCCAGGUGUAGCGGUGAAAUGCGUAGAUAUCUGGAGGAACACCGGUGGCGAAGGCGGCAUCCUGGACCGGCAUUGACGCUGAGGCGCGAAAGCCAGGGGAGCAAACGGG
RNAcentral lists this ribosomal RNA (253 nucleotides) under uncultured bacterium. RNAcentral describes it as "partial 16S ribosomal RNA". It matches the Rfam family "Bacterial small subunit ribosomal RNA", at positions 524 to 776 of the family's 1533-position model. The record is from RNAcentral.